GGUUAAGCGACUAAGCGUACACGGUGGAUGCCCUGGCAGUCAGAGGCGAUGAAGGACGUGCUAAUCUGCGAUAAGCGUCGGUAAGGUGAUAUGAACCGUUAUAACCGGCGAUUUCCGAAUGGGGAAACCCAGUGUGAUUCGUCACACUAUCAUUAACUGAAUCCAUAGGUUAAUGAGGCGAACCGGGGGAACUGAAACAUCUAAGUACCCCGAGGAAAAGAAAUCAACCGAGAUUCCCCCAGUAGCGGCGAGCGAACGGGGAGCAGCCCAGAGCCUGAAUCAGUGUGUGUGUUAGUGGAAGCGUCUGGAAAGGCGCGCGAUACAGGGUGACAGCCCCGUACACAAAAAUGCACAUGCUGUGAGCUCGAUGAGUAGGGCGGGACACGUGGUAUCCUGUCUGAAUAUGGGGGGACCAUCCUCCAAGGCUAAAUACUCCUGACUGACCGAUAGUGAACCAGUACCGUGAGGGAAAGGCGAAAAGAACCCCGGCGAGGGGAGUGAAAAAGAACCUGAAACCGUGUACGUACAAGCAGUGGGAGCACGCUUAGGCGUGUGACUGCGUACCUUUUGUAUAAUGGGUCAGCGACUUAUAUUCUGUAGCAAGGUUAACCGAAUAGGGGAGCCGAAGGGAAACCGAGUCUUAACUGGGCGUUAAGUUGCAGGGUAUAGACCCGAAACCCGGUGAUCUAGCCAUGGGCAGGUUGAAGGUUGGGUAACACUAACUGGAGGACCGAACCGACUAAUGUUGAAAAAUUAGCGGAUGACUUGUGGCUGGGGGUGAAAGGCCAAUCAAACCGGGAGAUAGCUGGUUCUCCCCGAAAGCUAUUUAGGUAGCGCCUCGUGAAUUCAUCUCCGGGGGUAGAGCACUGUUUCGGCAAGGGGGUCAUCCCGACUUACCAACCCGAUGCAAACUGCGAAUACCGGAGAAUGUUAUCACGGGAGACACACGGCGGGUGCUAACGUCCGUCGUGAAGAGGGAAACAACCCAGACCGCCAGCUAAGGUCCCAAAGUCAUGGUUAAGUGGGAAACGAUGUGGGAAGGCCCAGACAGCCAGGAUGUUGGCUUAGAAGCAGCCAUCAUUUAAAGAAAGCGUAAUAGCUCACUGGUCGAGUCGGCCUGCGCGGAAGAUGUAACGGGGCUAAACCAUGCACCGAAGCUGCGGCAGCGACGCUUAUGCGUUGUUGGGUAGGGGAGCGUUCUGUAAGCCUGUGAAGGUGUACUGUGAGGUAUGCUGGAGGUAUCAGAAGUGCGAAUGCUGACAUAAGUAACGAUAAAGCGGGUGAAAAGCCCGCUCGCCGGAAGACCAAGGGUUCCUGUCCAACGUUAAUCGGGGCAGGGUGAGUCGACCCCUAAGGCGAGGCCGAAAGGCGUAGUCGAUGGGAAACAGGUUAAUAUUCCUGUACUUGGUGUUACUGCGAAGGGGGGACGGAGAAGGCUAUGUUGGCCGGGCGACGGUUGUCCCGGUUUAAGCGUGUAGGCUGGUUUUCCAGGCAAAUCCGGAAAAUCAAGGCUGAGGCGUGAUGACGAGGCACUACGGUGCUGAAGCAACAAAUGCCCUGCUUCCAGGAAAAGCCUCUAAGCAUCAGGUAACAUCAAAUCGUACCCCAAACCGACACAGGUGGUCAGGUAGAGAAUACCAAGGCGCUUGAGAGAACUCGGGUGAAGGAACUAGGCAAAAUGGUGCCGUAACUUCGGGAGAAGGCACGCUGAUAUGUAGGUGAAGUCCCUCGCGGAUGGAGCUGAAAUCAGUCGAAGAUACCAGCUGGCUGCAACUGUUUAUUAAAAACACAGCACUGUGCAAACACGAAAGUGGACGUAUACGGUGUGACGCCUGCCCGGUGCCGGAAGGUUAAUUGAUGGGGUUAGCGCAAGCGAAGCUCUUGAUCGAAGCCCCGGUAAACGGCGGCCGUAACUAUAACGGUCCUAAGGUAGCGAAAUUCCUUGUCGGGUAAGUUCCGACCUGCACGAAUGGCGUAAUGAUGGCCAGGCUGUCUCCACCCGAGACUCAGUGAAAUUGAACUCGCUGUGAAGAUGCAGUGUACCCGCGGCAAGACGGAAAGACCCCGUGAACCUUUACUAUAGCUUGACACUGAACAUUGAGCCUUGAUGUGUAGGAUAGGUGGGAGGCUUUGAAGUGUGGACGCCAGUCUGCAUGGAGCCGACCUUGAAAUACCACCCUUUAAUGUUUGAUGUUCUAACGUUGACCCGUGAUCCGGGUUGCGGACAGUGUCUGGUGGGUAGUUUGACUGGGGCGGUCUCCUCCUAAAGAGUAACGGAGGAGCACGAAGGUUGGCUAAUCCUGGUCGGACAUCAGGAGGUUAGUGCAAUGGCAUAAGCCAGCUUGACUGCGAGCGUGACGGCGCGAGCAGGUGCGAAAGCAGGUCAUAGUGAUCCGGUGGUUCUGAAUGGAAGGGCCAUCGCUCAACGGAUAAAAGGUACUCCGGGGAUAACAGGCUGAUACCGCCCAAGAGUUCAUAUCGACGGCGGUGUUUGGCACCUCGAUGUCGGCUCAUCACAUCCUGGGGCUGAAGUAGGUCCCAAGGGUAUGGCUGUUCGCCAUUUAAAGUGGUACGCGAGCUGGGUUUAGAACGUCGUGAGACAGUUCGGUCCCUAUCUGCCGUGGGCGCUGGAGAACUGAGGGGGGCUGCUCCUAGUACGAGAGGACCGGAGUGGACGCAUCACUGGUGUUCGGGUUGUCAUGCCAAUGGCACUGCCCGGUAGCUAAAUGCGGAAGAGAUAAGUGCUGAAAGCAUCUAAGCACGAAACUUGCCCCGAGAUGAGUUCUCCCUGACUCCUUGAGAGUCCUGAAGGAACGUUGAAGACGACGACGUUGAUAGGCCGGGUGUGUAAGCGCAGCGAUGCGUUGAGCUAACCGGUACUAAUGAACCGUGAGGCUUAACCUU
Molecule: ribosomal RNA, 2904 nt
Filed under: Escherichia coli
Lineage: Bacteria; Pseudomonadati; Pseudomonadota; Gammaproteobacteria; Enterobacterales; Enterobacteriaceae
Also listed under: 1 other name
Description: 23S ribosomal RNA
Rfam family: Bacterial large subunit ribosomal RNA
Source: RNAcentral